Chelonia mydas (Green sea turtle) is the source of this 3142-nucleotide long non-coding RNA. RefSeq lists it as uncharacterized. NCBI's taxonomy places the organism in Eukaryota, Metazoa, Chordata, Testudines, Cheloniidae. The record is from RefSeq and is a predicted model, not a curated record. The transcript is spliced from 2 exons.
UUAAUUCUAGGCCUGCCAGUGCAUGCUGGCAAGCUGAAAACAGUGAAAUUUUAAUAAGGCAAAAUGCAACAUACGGUACAUUGGACCUACUGAAUACAUGCUAGGGUGCCUUUCAGUGUUACAAAUGCACUGGUACAUUUCUUGUGCUGCCAUAGUGCCAUAAGGGCUAAAUCUCCCUUUAUACCUAGCACACCAGCAUUGCCCAUUCCCCUUUUUAAUUAGAAGGUACGGACACACAUUUACUAUGAUGAUGGUAUCACGAGAGGAAAAAAGAGACUCUUUUAAACCUAAAGCUGGUACUGUAGGGCACCUAAUAGUAUUUCUAUAACACAAGCAAGGCCUUUGAAGCGCAGGGGCAGGGAUGUUAAACAAAUGCAUUACAUGAAGCAAUACUUCUAUUUUAUAAAGCUGAAGAAGACUGACAAGCAUUGAUCUUACAGAGCAUGUAAUAACCACUGUAGACCAAAGGGCAAGAGUAGAACAUUGCAAAACAUUAGUAAGUCAAUGGAUUUGAUUAAACUUGCAUCAACAUAUUCUGAAAAGAAAUUUUUCUUACCUCUUUAAGAAAGGCAAAUGGUCCUGUGCUGUCUAUGGUGUUGUUUGUAGCACAUAGGUACGUAAUCCCAUUAACAAGCAGGGCAUGGUACACAAAGCUUAGAAAAGAUAUAUUAAUAGAAUGAGUAUUAUUAUUUAAACUUCUAACUUGUGUCAUAUACUAAUGAGCCAAAAUCAGUGAAAGAAAAGGAAUGUAAUUAAGCAUUUACAAUCAGCAUCGCUGAACUGAACAAUAAAACAAUAUGCUCUUCCAAAGCAAAACCAUAAAGACUUGAAUAAACUCUACAAUAUUACAAAAGUGCUUCUGGAUGACUUGGUAUUUUACAUACAGUAGAAACUCCUUUAUAUCCCACUUGAGAUGGAGUUUUAAUAAUUACAUAUCAAAGAAAACCAAAUUUUAAGUGGAUUUGUGUAAAUUUAGUGCAGAGGAAAGUGAAGAGCUAACAGUUACGGCUAGAGGCAGUAUAGUAUGACAUAGGUGUUGAACAAGUUCACACAGUGCAUCUCCCUGUAGAUUACAAAAAUUUUCAUUUCACGUCUAGCUCCCUCUUGAGCAGAGACUGCUAAUCACAUCAAGUGUAUGUGUCUUUGUAAUGACUCCAUUAGGGUAAUUAUAAAAUGAGUGGCAUGAAAUAAGACCAGUAUCUUUUUUUUUUUUUAAACUUAUGUUGGAAGAUUACACUUGAACCUCUAUUAUCUAAAAUCCUCACUCUGCAGCAGUCAGUUCUACAGCAAAGAAUUUGACCUGUUUUUAAAAACCCAAGUUGCAACCAAGGCUUUACCUUCCAAUGUGAGCUGUGGUUUUUUUCAAGCCUUUGUGAAGAACUAAAUUUACCACUGAUGAAGCAGCAUCCUAAAAUUAAACUACUGAGAAUUAGUCUUUUGUUCACGAGAAAUGAAUGUAAUGUUUAUAAAUAUCAGCAAUAUUUAGCAGCAGGUUGAAACAGCACAUUUCUGAAUGAGGGUUUAUACUUAAAAGGUAUUAUAGCUGAAUGAAGUUUAAUUAAGCAUGUUUAUUGCUUCGAAACAAAGAGCUGUUUCAAUAAAAGAACAAAAAAGUGGAGUACUCCCUAAACUUUGUUUCUGCAGCGAAUAAGCUUGAUGCCUUUGUGACUACUAUGGAGGUUGUACAUAUCACAAAACUACCCCAAAAUGUAUAGUAUAAACUGGAUGGAUAUCGCUAUAGCUCCAUAUCUAUAUCGUCACAAAGGCAUCAAGCUUAUACAUAGCAGAAACCUCUCUAAAAUUGAUAUAUGUAUAUGUAUAUAUUUGCUGAAUAUUGUUAUCAGAACUGCUGAAUGAAACAACUGGACUCCAAUAACAAUGAUUGGGUUCUAAAGCAUCAUGUUUUAGGAUGUGGGAGGAAUCAGCUUGAUAUUCUAAAAUCAAGAUUUCAUAUGAUCUGGCAUUUCUAGCACAGGGGCUAUAGUGGAAAAAAGAGACAACUGGGUAUCCCAAACUGACAGCACAAUUAGCAGUGUGAUUCCUAUUUACUUAGUCUUUGUAAAUGAAAUAUACAAGGUAACUGAAGUUUGCAGCAGAAAGUUUUUUUUUUGUUUUUUUGUUUCUUUAAGAUCCACUGCUUUUUACAGUGCCAUAAACUGUAACUGGUUCGGUCAUAAAGAUUAUAAACUGAAAAACCAUAGCUGCAUGGUGAUCGCAAAUAAAACAGCACUUCUAGGAAACACUGCAACAAUAUUUUUCUUUCAAAUUGUUCUGCUCCUGAUUAAUGGCUUAUAUGAGUAAUGUUAGCUCUGUUUUUUGUUCACCAUUUAAAUAACAUUUAUGGGCCAGAUUAAAAAAAAAAAAGGUACAACACUCAAAGUGUGCCAGUGGGAGCUGCUGGGUGCUGUUUUUUUUUGUUUUUUGUUUUUAAAUCUGGCCCUAAUUGUGCUUGCUGAGCAUUUGUAAAUCUCAACCCAGGGCUUAGUUAACUGCCUGAUGCAACGUUGCUAUUUGAAUAAAGCAACACUUGCUUGUACCCUCUGUCAAACAUUAAACUCUGAUACAAGUAAUAUUUUUUUCAUUUCAAGUUUUCUGACAUUCCCUUCUGCUUCUGGAUCUGGUGCAAUGGGCACUUUACAUAAUACCAGUCUGAUGACAUGAACUAUUUGCAAGGAGGGAAGCCAGACAAAUAUUUUCACGUUGCAGAGCAAACACCAAGUCCUAGACAUGGCACGAUUCUGCAAGGUGCUGGCAAAGCCUGUUGCAUUGAUCCUGUAGUCAGUAAAGAGCGAUCAUGGCCAGGAACCAGGGCUGAGCAGGAGACAGUAAACAGGCCUUUCAACAAAACAAAAAGGCAACAACAGAAAUGCUGAGGCUGCCCACAUACUGAUCAGAAUGGAGGGAGAGGAAGCGUUGAAUAUCAUUGCCUUAGUAUGUAAAUAUCUCGGGAAAGGGCACACAGAUAAGAGAAAUGUCAGCAGCUUCCCCGAUCAGCAGAUGGGAUACAAAGCCUUCUGAAGGACUGAGUUGUGCUGAUUUAUCUUUGUGUCUUUUUCUUUUUUUAUUCCAUUAGAUGUCCAAAAGAUUAUAUUUACUGUGAUUUAUUUUCCUUUUAUGGACAAUAAAACAAUUUUUUCCUUUC